AACGAACGCUGGCGGCAUGCCUAACACAUGCAAGUCGAACGAGACCUUCGGGUCUAGUGGCGCACGGGUGCGUAACGCGUGGGAACCUGCCCUUAGGUUCGGAAUAACUGCCCGAAAGGGGUGCUAAUACCGGAUAAUGUCUUCGGACCAAAGAUUUAUCGCCUUUGGAUGGGCCCGCGUUGGAUUAGCUAGUUGGUAGGGUAAAAGCCUACCAAGGCGACGAUCCAUAGCUGGUCUGAGAGGAUGAUCAGCCACACUGGGACUGAGACACGGCCCAGACUCCUACGGGGGGCAGCAGUGGGGAAUAUUGGACAAUGGGCGAAAGCCUGAUCCAGCAAUGCCGCGUGAGUGAUGAAGGCCUUAGGGUUGUAAAGCUCUUUUACCCGGGAUGAUAAUGACAGUACCGGGAGAAUAAGCUCCGGCUAACUCCGUG
This 433-nucleotide ribosomal RNA is filed under the name uncultured bacterium. RNAcentral describes it as "partial 16S ribosomal RNA". It matches the Rfam family "Bacterial small subunit ribosomal RNA", at positions 29 to 507 of the family's 1533-position model. The record is from RNAcentral.